RNAcentral lists this ribosomal RNA (1372 nucleotides) under uncultured bacterium. Its description in RNAcentral is "bacterial SSU rRNA". It matches the Rfam family "Bacterial small subunit ribosomal RNA", at positions 28 to 1381 of the family's 1533-position model. The record is from RNAcentral.
GAUGAACGCUGGCGGCGUGCCUAAUACAUGCAAGUCGAGCGAACGGACGAGAAGCUUGCUUCUCUGAUGUUAGCGGCGGACGGGUGAGUAACACGUGGAUAACCUACCUAUAAGACUGGGAUAACUUCGGGAAACCGGAGCUAAUACCGGAUAAUAUUUUGAACCGCAUGGUUCAAAAGUGAAAGACGGUCUUGCUGUCACUUAUAGAUGGAUCCGCGCUGCAUUAGCUAGUUGGUAAGGUAACGGCUUACCAAGGCAACGAUGCAUAGCCGACCUGAGAGGGUGAUCGGCCACACUGGAACUGAGACACGGUCCAGACUCCUACGGGAGGCAGCAGUAGGGAAUCUUCCGCAAUGGGCGAAAGCCUGACGGAGCAACGCCGCGUGAGUGAUGAAGGUCUUCGGAUCGUAAAACUCUGUUAUUAGGGAAGAACAUAUGUGUAAGUAACUGUGCACAUCUUGACGGUACCUAAUCAGAAAGCCACGGCUAACUACGUGCCAGCAGCCGCGGUAAUACGUAGGUGGCAAGCGUUAUCCGGAAUUAUUGGGCGUAAAGCGCGCGUAGGCGGUUUUUUAAGUCUGAUGUGAAAGCCCACGGCUCAACCGUGGAGGGUCAUUGGAAACUGGAAAACUUGAGUGCAGAAGAGGAAAGUGGAAUUCCAUGUGUAGCGGUGAAAUGCGCAGAGAUAUGGAGGAACACCAGUGGCGAAGGCGACUUUCUGGUCUGUAACUGACGCUGAUGUGCGAAAGCGUGGGGAUCAAACAGGAUUAGAUACCCUGGUAGUCCACGCCGUAAACGAUGAGUGCUAAGUGUUAGGGGGUUUCCGCCCCUUAGUGCUGCAGCUAACGCGUUAAGCACUCCGCCUGGGGAGUACGACCGCAAGGUUGAAACUCAAAGGAAUUGACGGGGACCCGCACAAGCGGUGGAGCAUGUGGUUUAAUUCGAAGCAACGCGAAGAACCUUACCAAAUCUUGACAUCCUUUGACAACUCUAGAGAUAGAGCCUUCCCCUUCGGGGGACAAAGUGACAGGUGGUGCAUGGUUGUCGUCAGCUCGUGUCGUGAGAUGUUGGGUUAAGUCCCGCAACGAGCGCAACCCUUAAGCUUAGUUGCCAUCAUUAAGUUGGGCACUCUAAGUUGACUGCCGGUGACAAACCGGAGGAAGGUGGGGAUGACGUCAAAUCAUCAUGCCCCUUAUGAUUUGGGCUACACACGUGCUACAAUGGACAAUACAAAGGGCAGCGAAACCGCGAGGUCAAGCAAAUCCCAUAAAGUUGUUCUCAGUUCGGAUUGUAGUCUGCAACUCGACUACAUGAAGCUGGAAUCGCUAGUAAUCGUAGAUCAGCAUGCUACGGUGAAUACGUUCCCGGGUCU